RNAcentral lists this long non-coding RNA (1076 nucleotides) under Cyanistes caeruleus (blue tit). Its description in RNAcentral is "lncRNA (ENSCCEG00000001424.1)". The record is from RNAcentral. Lineage: Eukaryota; Metazoa; Chordata; Aves; Passeriformes; Paridae.
UGCUGCCACACAGAGGCAGAGUUGAGGCUGCUUCUAAAGGGAAGGAGUGAAGGAAGAAAAUCUUUUUUGGUUAGAAAUUACCUGGAUUUCCUGCUGGGGACACCCCAUCACCCUUCAAGGCUUUUUCCUUGUCCAAGAACUCAUAUUUUUGGUUGUUUUCCUAAGCAUCUUUUUAUGUCCUGAGGAUGAGCUGAACACUAAACCAGAUGAACAAGCUGCAGGAGCCCAGCACUUGCCCACCUGGGGCUGACCUUUUGAAGGACCACUUGAGGAGAGUGGAGGCUUGGCCAGGUGAUGAUUCCAAGCUCUGCAGUCCCUGGAUCAGCAAACCCCCGCCCCCGGGCACAGAUGGAGCUGCGGCAUCCGCCAAGGAGGAUCGGGAGAGGAAAGGAGCUGGGAAUUCGCUUCUCCUGCCUGCAGGUCCCUCUGGAAAAGCGGGAUGCUCUGAUGGACGGUGUUUGCAGCACGGCAGGAUGUGAAUCCUCCUGUGCUCCCCACCUCUCUGCUCCAUCCCGUUCCUUCCCCGGCCCUGACCGCAUCCCUCCAGAGCCUCCUCGGCGUUUCCAAGCCAACAGCUCAAGCCCAAGUGCCACCAGAGGUGACUUGGAGCAGGGUCACUUGCUGCCUUGGUGCUCUCUGCUGGGGACACUCCCAGCCCGGGCUCAUCACUUGGAGAUAAACACGAAACCGCUCUGAGAGCUGGAGCCCCUCUGCUCUGGAGCCAGGCUGGGAGAGCUGGCAAUGCUCACCUGGAGAAGGUGAGCAAUAUCCAACACACCGUGGCCACUCCUGUGUUCCUCAAUGGACCCCAUUCCCAGCAUCCUGCCCAAAAUCCCUUCCCUUGUUCAGCCUCACAGCAGCAGCUGCUGCUCGUUUUGGUGCCCACUGCAGAUGGGAUCAUUCGAUCUCCAGAUUUCUCCGUGCAGCCAAGUUGGAGCUUGCAAUUUCCUUUCAGCUGCAUUAAGUUCCUGCAUAAUUUUCAAUUCACUCUUCUUUUGUGGGGGAUGAAUAGAGAAGGGUGAUCUCUUUCAAAGAAGAUUUAUUAAAAUGCAAAUAAACUUCAAGCUGAAGGUCCA